AUUAGAUAAAAAACCAAUGCCCUUCAGAGCUUCUUGGUGAUUCAUAAUAACUUAUCAAAUCACAUGGCCUUGUGCUGGCAAUGGUUCAUUCAAAUUUCUGCUCUAUCAACUUUUGAUGGUAGGAUAGUGGCCUACCAUGGUGGCAACAGGUAACAGGGAAUUAGGGUUCAAUUCCAGAGAGGGAGCCUGAGAAACAGCUACCAUAUCUAAGAAAGACAGCAGGCGCGCAAAUUACCCAAUCCCAAUACAGGGAGAUAGUGACAAUAAAUACUGAUACAGGGCUCUUUCAGGUCUUGUAAUUGGAAUAAGUACAAUUUAAACAUCUUAACAAGAAGCAAUUGGAGGGCAAGUCUGGUGCCAGCAGCCACAGUAAUUCCAGCUCCAAUAGCGUAUAUUAAAGUUGUUGCAGUUAAAAAGCUCAUAGUUGAAUCUUGGGUCUGGCUGGCCAGUCUGCCUCACCACAUGCACUGGUCUGGCUGGAUCUUUCCUUCUGGGGAGCCCCAUGGCCCUUUAUUGGC
This 518-nucleotide ribosomal RNA is filed under the name uncultured fungus. RNAcentral describes it as "bacterial SSU rRNA". It matches the Rfam family "Eukaryotic small subunit ribosomal RNA", at positions 209 to 727 of the family's 1831-position model. The record is from RNAcentral. Lineage: Eukaryota; Fungi.